Long non-coding RNA from Malania oleifera, 797 nucleotides. RefSeq lists it as uncharacterized. NCBI's taxonomy places the organism in Eukaryota, Viridiplantae, Streptophyta, Magnoliopsida, Santalales, Ximeniaceae. The record is from RefSeq and is a predicted model, not a curated record. The transcript has 3 exons.
AACAUCUGCAAUGAUAAAUGAUUCUAUCCUCCAAAUUCAGCUCGUUCAUUUCAGAAUAAAAAUCCUUUGACAUGAAAGAAGCAGCUUCCGCCAUAUGAAACAGAUGAACCAGGAAACCGCUGCAGCAUCAGGAAGAGCCUGGCAAAAGUUAAAAUUCAAAGAAAAUGCAUAAGGAAUAUUGCAGAAUAUCAGAAGAAGACCCUGGCAGUUUCUCAGUCGCAGGUUGCCGGCAUGUGGGGCGCAUGCACAGCUGGCGAGGCUCCUCCAGCAAUGGAACUCUGGCUGGUGGCAGAUCAAGGGUUGGGAGUUGAAUAGUGGUGUUUUGAGUCUCAACAGAGUAUUGGCAGAUCUGAGUUUUCAGAAGGGGGUCGACUGGAACACCUUCAAGUUGCAUGUGGGCCCACACCCCCCAUUUGGUUGAGGUGAAAUUGCAGGAAGGUGUUUUUCGGUGGUGUCACUGUGUCAGUCUAAGAUAGUGUAAGAGAUGUUGAGAAAUUAUUGCUGGAAGUUGGAGUUUCAAACCAGUUACAAAACUGAAAUUUUCUGGAAAGGUUGCUAGUGAACAGUGCUUGCAAUUUCUGUACUGUGACUACUGUGGUGAUUGUGUUUUUCUCUAAUACCAAUUCGAUGUAGGACAUGUGACAUAAUUUAAAUAUGAAGAGGGAAUUUAGAAAAUUAGGGAGAGAAGAAGAAGAAGAGCAGAACCUGCAGAGGGGGAGGGGGGAGAGAGAGAGGGAAACUGUAAUCUGAUUCAAACAAUAACUGUACAAUAACUUACAUGUCCAGCACUUAUACCA